AAUUGAUCCUCUAAGUGAGUCUUAGUACAAUUGUAUGUCUAAGAAGAGGAAUCAAGAAUUGAAGAAAUGGUUAAAUCAAUAAGUCAAUCAUACUUCGUUCCAAUAACAAGUCUUAAAGUUAAGAUUGUGACAUCGAGUGAAAAAGUAAGGUUUAUAACAUUCAUCAAUUGUGGAAAGUUGUGAUGUCUUGGAUAAGACAUAGACCAACUAGGACCAAAGUUAUGAAGUGUUUUGUUUUAAUAAAAGAUACACUAUAAGACAUAGACCAACUAGGACUAAAGUUAUGAAGUGUUUUGUUUUAAUAAAAGAUACACUAACUCUUGAAUAUUUGUUUGUCAAGAAAUGAUUAUUGACAAGAGAAUCUUAUAUGUCAAGGAGUCAGUGGGAGUCUUAUUGGUCUUGAAAGGCUUCAAGAACAAAUCAAAUAGACCUUAUCGAUCAUCACUAGCGCACGAGUUGAGGUUUGCAACCUAUCGUGUUGACAUUAUUUGGUUUCUGUG
RNAcentral lists this long non-coding RNA (500 nucleotides) under Lactuca sativa (garden lettuce). RNAcentral describes it as "long non-coding RNA (LSAT_LNC008990)". Lineage: Eukaryota; Viridiplantae; Streptophyta; Magnoliopsida; Asterales; Asteraceae. The record is from RNAcentral.